This 467-nucleotide ribosomal RNA is filed under the name uncultured bacterium. RNAcentral's name for it is "partial 16S ribosomal RNA". It matches the Rfam family "Bacterial small subunit ribosomal RNA", at positions 28 to 507 of the family's 1533-position model. The record is from RNAcentral.
GACGAACGCUGGCGGCGUGCUUAACACAUGCAAGUCGAACGGAAAGGCCCUGCUUUUGUGGGGUGCUCGAGUGGCGAACGGGUGAGUAACACGUGAGUAACCUGCCCUUGACUUUGGGAUAACUUCAGGAAACUGGGGCUAAUACCGGAUAGGAGCUCCUGCUGCAUGGUGGGGGUUGGAAAGUUUCGGCGGUUGGGGAUGGACUCGCGGCUUAUCAGCUUGUUGGUGGGGUAGUGGCUUACCAAGGCUUUGACGGUAGCCGGCCUGAGAGGGUGACCGGCCACAUUGGGACUGAGAUACGGCCCAGACUCCUACGGGAGGCAGCAGUGGGGAAUAUUGCACAAUGGGCGGAAGCCUGAUGCAGCAACGCCGCGUGCGGGAUGACGGCCUUCGGGUUGUAAACCGCUUUCGCCUGUGACGAAGCGUGAGCGACGGUAAUGGGUAAAGAAGCACCGGCUAACUACGUG